This 460-nucleotide ribosomal RNA is filed under the name uncultured bacterium. RNAcentral's name for it is "partial 16S ribosomal RNA". It matches the Rfam family "Bacterial small subunit ribosomal RNA", at positions 338 to 795 of the family's 1533-position model. The record is from RNAcentral.
CCUACGGGGCGCAGCAGUGAGGAAUAUUGGUCAAUGGCCGGAAGGCUGAACCAGCCAUGCCGCGUGAAGGUCAGUGCCCUAUGGGCGUUAAACUUCUUUUGUGCGGGAGCAAUAAUGGUCACGUGUGGCCAGACGAGAGUACCGUACGAAUAAGCAUCGGCUAACUCCGUGCCAGCAGCCGCGGUAAUACGGGGGAUGCAAGGGUUAUCCGGAUUUAUUGGGUUUAAAGGGUGCGUAGGCUGUGAGGUAAGUCAGCGGUGAAAUGCCCCCGCUCAACGGGGUGAAGGGCCAUUGAUACUGCCUGGCUGGAAUGCGGAUGCCGUGGGAGGAAUGUGUGGUGUAGCGGUGAAAUGCAUAGAUAUCACACAGAACACCGAUUGCGAAGGCAUCUCACGAAUCCGCGAUUGACGCUGAUGCACGAAAGCGUGGGUAUCAAACAGGAUUAGAUACCCGUGUAGUC